This 154-nucleotide ribosomal RNA is filed under the name uncultured fungus. RNAcentral's name for it is "partial 5.8S ribosomal RNA". It matches the Rfam family "5.8S ribosomal RNA". Rfam says of the family: 5.8S ribosomal RNA (5.8S rRNA) is a component of the large subunit of the eukaryotic ribosome. It is transcribed by RNA polymerase I as part of the 45S precursor that also contains 18S and 28S rRNA. Functionally, it is thought that 5.8S rRNA may be involved in ribosome translocation. Lineage: Eukaryota; Fungi. The record is from RNAcentral.
AACUUUCAACNACGGAUCUCUUGGCUCUCGCAUCGAUGAAGAACGCAGCGAAAUGCGAUAAGUAAUGUGAAUUGCAGAAUUCAGUGAAUCAUCGAAUCUUUGAACGCACCUUGCGCUCUUUGGUAUUCCGAAGAGCAUGCCUGUUUGAGUGUCA